GCUUCCUGAAGGGCCGUCGAAGACUACGACGUUGAUAGGUCGGGUGUGUAAGCGCUGUGAGGCGUUGAGCUAACCGAUACUAAUUGCCCGUGAGGCUUGACCAU
RNAcentral lists this ribosomal RNA (104 nucleotides) under Pseudomonas flavocrustae. RNAcentral describes it as "partial 23S ribosomal RNA". It matches the Rfam family "Bacterial large subunit ribosomal RNA", at positions 2822 to 2925 of the family's 2925-position model. The record is from RNAcentral. Lineage: Bacteria; Pseudomonadati; Pseudomonadota; Gammaproteobacteria; Pseudomonadales; Pseudomonadaceae.